This is a long non-coding RNA of Salmo trutta (river trout), 1713 nucleotides long. Lineage: Eukaryota; Metazoa; Chordata; Actinopteri; Salmoniformes; Salmonidae. The record is from Ensembl.
CCAGUCUCCCGUCACUCUGUUGGGUACCCAAACUACCAGGUGCUCUUUGGUUGGCUGGGCGCUCGGUGGUUGGAAUUCAGACUGGCCAGUUGGAGUAGCAGCUACAGGAUCUUUACCACUACAGAGCCUGUGGAAGGUGUGGAGGAUCCAACAUUUUUUUUGUUUUUUACGACUCCAUUCCGGACCGCUUUUUGCCCAGGAGCAAGUCGGAAACCCGAAAUUUCAAGUCGUUUUUGGUGCAUUCCUCUUUUUUUGCCUGAACAAAAGGGUGUAAUCGCAACCAGGUCUCCAGACCAGAGCUGCAUCAACACACUGCACAAAGAAACCAACCCCAGACCCACUACAGACAUGAUCAUCCGACUGGGCAGACUGACCCCUGGAUACUUCCGCCUCCUACAGAGACAGGUGGCGGGUGAGGUGCAGACCCAGCCACAGGACCGCAUGGUCAACCAGAUAGCCAUGAUGCUGGCCAUCAUGGGCCUAAGCCUGUCCUACUACAGUGCCAAACGGAUGACCGAGAAGGUCCAGAGACUCCAGAAGAGAAGAGAUCCCCAUACACCCUGAAGAAUUCCCCCCCCCCCCCCCCCCCCCCCAUGCACCGGUCCGCUUUGAACCUGGAGAGAAGACGAACCAACGCGGAGAUGUUGUGGAGAGGAGACGUGGAGAUGUCGGUGUCCAGAACAACACCUUUUCACAACCGAUCAGUCGUAGUCACGUCGUUCACACACUGGGGUUUUACUGGGAUCCCUCUCAAUGCGAGGAGAGUUCGGGGGCUGCUGCUUUUAAGGGUAUCUUGUUAAUUUUUCACACCAAUUGGGGGGAAGAGGCCAACGGUGGGGUACGUGUGGUCCUGAUAAGUUUUGGGGGGGUAAAAAGUACUACCAGCUGUCUAUGGUCAGGCUGGGUCUGAGCUUUAGUCAUUGCCAAGGUACAUGCGUGCAAGAUUCCAUCAAUACUGUUCUUAGCUAAAAAGGAUAGAAAAAUGCAAAACUAAUUAUUCUAAUGUACUGUGAAACUUGCUAGUGCUCCAAGCAUAUGACUGUGUAAAAUAACUGAACAGUAAUUCUUUUUUAAGGGAAGGCUAUCUGCAUUUGAGAUGUAUCUAGUAAUGACUGAAGGCGGGCCUGUAGUGUGGGGAGAAAGUAACCCUCUUAGGUUUUUGUCAUUUCUUAUUGUUAAAAAAAUUUAAGUGAGCAAUGUGAGCUAGAUGUGGAGGAGGAGGAGUCUCAAACUGGUCAAUAAGUCCACACAUAUUUAAAAUCUGCUAAUGUCAGAAAAAAAACAACAGUACAAGUGAAAUGCAGUAUUUUAACAUUUUAGGAACUUGCUUAUCCAAAUCUACGAAAAAAGGCACUUAAUCCAAAUAACAACUUUGUUUUUCUCACAAUGUUUCUAGAUUCUUUAUUUAAACUUAAAUAGAUGAAAGGUGGCUUUCUUUAAAGAACUCGAUCUGCAAUAGCUACUAGGUGUUACCACAGAAUAUUCUAACUUCAGUAAACGUUGCAUGGGUGUGCAGCUUUUAAACUCUACAUAACUUAAGAUUUCAUUAAAACUGUCACGUUUAGUUUUUUAAAGAAUGAUAACCAUGAAUGUAUAUUUCUGUGAUGUUUAGAAAAAUCAAAUAAAGCUGUGACUUGAAUGAUAAGAACAGUGGCAGUUUAGUAAUGAUUUUACGGUGUUUGGGAAUUCUGGAAAAACCGACAUGAACAAGCU